CCUACGGGGGGCAGCAGUGGGGAAUAUUGCACAAUGGGGGAAACCCUGAUGCAGCGACGCCGCGUGAGCGAUGAAGUAUUUCGGUAUGUAAAGCUCUAUCAGCAGGGAAGAAAAUGACGUUACCUGACUAAGAAGCCCCGGCUAACUACGUGCCAGCAGCCGCGGUAAUACGUAGGGGGCAAGCGUUAUCCGGAUUUACUGGGUGUAAAGGGAGCGUAGCCGGCUGUGCAAGCCAGAUGUGAAAGCCCGGGGCUCAACCCCGGGACUGUAUUUGGAACUGCGUGGCUGGAGUGCAGGAGGGGCAGGCGGAAUUCGUGGGGUAGCGGUGAAAUGCGUAGAGAUCAGGAGGAACACCGGUGGCGAAGGCGGCCUGCUGGACUGCAACUGACGUUGAGGCCCGAAAGCGUGGGGAGCAAACAGGAUUAGAUACACCUGUAGUC
Molecule: ribosomal RNA, 440 nt
Filed under: uncultured bacterium
Lineage: Bacteria
Description: partial 16S ribosomal RNA
Rfam family: Bacterial small subunit ribosomal RNA
Source: RNAcentral